UUAAGCGACUAAGCGUACACGGUGGAUGCCCUGGCAGUCAGAGGCGAUGAAGGACGUGCUAAUCUGCGAAAAGCGUCGGUAAGGUGAUAUGAACCGUUACAGCCGGCGAUGUCCGAAUGGGGAAACCCAGUGUGAUUCGUCACACUAUCGUUAACUGAAUACAUAGGUUAACGAGGCGAACCGGGGGAACUGAAACAUCUAAGUACCCCGAGGAAAAGAAAUCAACCGAGAUUCCCCCAGUAGCGGCGAGCGAACGGGGAGCAGCCCAGAGUCUGAAUCAGCUUGUGUGUUAGUGGAACGGUCUGGAAAGUCCGACGGUACAGGGUGAUAGUCCCGUACACCAAAAUGCACAGGCUGUGAACUCGAAGAGUAGGGCGGGACACGUGGUAUCCUGUCUGAAUAUGGGGGGACCAUCCUCCAAGGCUAAAUACUCCUGACUGACCGAUAGUGAACCAGUACCGUGAGGGAAAGGCGAAAAGAACCCCGGCGAGGGGAGUGAAAAAGAACCUGAAACCGUGUACGUACAAGCAGUGGGAGCACCUUUAUGGUGUGACUGCGUACCUUUUGUAUAAUGGGUCAGCGACUUAUAUUCUGUAGCAAGGUUAACCGUAUAGGGGAGCCGCAGGGAAACCGAGUCUUAACUGGGCGUUAAGUUGCAGGGUAUAGACCCGAAACCCGGUGAUCUAGCCAUGGGCAGGUUGAAGGUUGGGUAACACUAACUGGAGGACCGAACCGACUAAUGUUGAAAAAUUAGCGGAUGACUUGUGGCUGGGGGUGAAAGGCCAAUCAAACCGGGAGAUAGCUGGUUCUCCCCGAAAGCUAUUUAGGUAGCGCCUCGUGAACUCAUCUUCGGGGGUAGAGCACUGUUUCGGCUAGGGGGUCAUCCCGACUUACCAACCCGAUGCAAACUACGAAUACCGAAGAAUGUUAUCACGGGAGACACACGGCGGGUGCUAACGUCCGUCGUGAAGAGGGAAACAACCCAGACCGCCAGCUAAGGUCCCAAAGUCAUGGUUAAGUGGGAAACGAUGUGGGAAGGCACAGACAGCCAGGAUGUUGGCUUAGAAGCAGCCAUCAUUUAAAGAAAGCGUAAUAGCUCACUGGUCGAGUCGGCCUGCGCGGAAGAUGUAACGGGGCUAAACCAUGCACCGAAGCUGCGGCAGCGACACGAUGUGUUGUUGGGUAGGGGAGCGUUCUGUAAGCCUGCGAAGGUGACCUGUGAGGGUUGCUGGAGGUAUCAGAAGUGCGAAUGCUGACAUAAGUAACGAUAAAGCGGGUGAAAAGCCCGCUCGCCGGAAGACCAAGGGUUCCUGUCCAACGUUAAUCGGGGCAGGGUGAGUCGACCCCUAAGGCGAGGCCGAAAGGCGUAGUCGAUGGGAAACAGGUUAAUAUUCCUGUACUUGGUGUUACUGCGAAGGGGGGACGGAGAAGGCUAUGUUAGCCGGGCGACGGUUGUCCCGGUUUAAGCAUGUAGGCUGGUUAUCCAGGCAAAUCCGGAUAAUCAAGGCUGAGGUGUGAUGACGAGGCACUACGGUGCUGAAGUAACAAAUGCCCUGCUUCCAGGAAAAGCCUCUAAGCAUCAGGUAACAUCAAAUCGUACCCCAAACCGACACAGGUGGUCAGGUAGAGAAUACCAAGGCGCUUGAGAGAACUCGGGUGAAGGAACUAGGCAAAAUGGUGCCGUAACUUCGGGAGAAGGCACGCUGGUGUGUAGGUGAAGCCCCUGCGGGUGGAGCUGAGACCAGUCGAAGAUACCAGCUGGCUGCAACUGUUUAUUAAAAACACAGCACUGUGCAAACACGAAAGUGGACGUAUACGGUGUGACGCCUGCCCGGUGCCGGAAGGUUAAUUGAUGGGGUUAUCCGUAAGGAGAAGCUCUUGAUCGAAGCCCCGGUAAACGGCGGCCGUAACUAUAACGGUCCUAAGGUAGCGAAAUUCCUUGUCGGGUAAGUUCCGACCUGCACGAAUGGCGUAAUGAUGGCCAGGCUGUCUCCACCCGAGACUCAGUGAAAUUGAACUCGCUGUGAAGAUGCAGUGUACCCGCGGCAAGACGGAAAGACCCCGUGAACCUUUACUAUAGCUUGACACUGAACAUUGAGCCUUGAUGUGUAGGAUAGGUGGGAGGCUUUGAAGCGUGGACGCCAGUCUGCGUGGAGCCAACCUUGAAAUACCACCCUUUAAUGUUUGAUGUUCUAACGUUGGCCCCUUAUCGGGGUUGCGGACAGUGUCUGGUGGGUAGUUUGACUGGGGCGGUCUCCUCCCAAAGCGUAACGGAGGAGCACGAAGGUUAGCUAAUCCUGGUCGGACAUCAGGAGGUUAGUGCAAUGGCAUAAGCUAGCUUGACUGCGAGCGUGACGGCGCGAGCAGGUGCGAAAGCAGGUCAUAGUGAUCCGGUGGUUCUGAAUGGAAGGGCCAUCGCUCAACGGAUAAAAGGUACUCCGGGGAUAACAGGCUGAUACCGCCCAAGAGUUCAUAUCGACGGCGGUGUUUGGCACCUCGAUGUCGGCUCAUCACAUCCUGGGGCUGAAGUAGGUCCCAAGGGUAUGGCUGUUCGCCAUUUAAAGUGGUACGCGAGCUGGGUUUAGAACGUCGUGAGACAGUUCGGUCCCUAUCUGCCGUGGGCGCUGGAGAAUUGAGGGGGGCUGCUCCUAGUACGAGAGGACCGGAGUGGACGCAUCACUGGUGUUCGGGUUGUCAUGCCAAUGGCACUGCCCGGUAGCUAAAUGCGGAAGAGAUAAGUGCUGAAAGCAUCUAAGCACGAAACUUGCCCCGAGAUGAGUUCUCCCUGAGGCUUUAAGUCUCCUGAAGGAACGUUGAAGACGACGACGUUGAUAGGCCGGGUGUGUAAGCGCAGCGAUGCGUUGAGCUAACCGGUACUAAUGAACCGUGAGGCUUAACCUU
Molecule: ribosomal RNA, 2901 nt
Filed under: Klebsiella pneumoniae
Lineage: Bacteria; Pseudomonadati; Pseudomonadota; Gammaproteobacteria; Enterobacterales; Enterobacteriaceae
Also listed under: 1 other name
Description: bacterial LSU rRNA
Rfam family: Bacterial large subunit ribosomal RNA
Source: RNAcentral